AGAGUUUGAUCCUGGCUCAGAACGAACGCUGGCGGCGUGCCUAACACAUGCAAGUCGAACGGAGGCAGGGGGCUUGCUCCUUGCUUUAGUGGCGCACGGGUGAGUAACGCGUGGAUAAUCUACCUGUUGAUCUGGGAUAACAUUCCGAAAGGGGUGCUAAUACCGGAUAAGCCCACGGGGUCUUCGGACCCUGCGGGAAAAGGGGGGGACCUUCGGGCCUUCCGUCAACAGAUGAGUCCGCGUACCAUUAGCUAGUUGGUGGGGUAAAGGCCUACCAAGGCGACGAUGGUUAGCUGGUCUGAGAGGAUGAUCAGCCACACUGGAACUGAGACACGGUCCAGACUCCUACGGGAGGCAGCAGUGGGGAAUUUUGCGCAAUGGGGAAACCCUGACGCAGCAACGCCGCGUGAGUGAUGAAGGCCUUCGGGUCGUAAAGCUCUGUCAGAGGGAAAGAAGUGUACGGCGGAUAAUACCCGUGUACUGACGGUACCCUCAAAGGAAGC
Molecule: ribosomal RNA, 503 nt
Filed under: uncultured delta proteobacterium
Lineage: Bacteria; Deltaproteobacteria
Description: bacterial SSU rRNA
Rfam family: Bacterial small subunit ribosomal RNA
Source: RNAcentral